UGCAAUUUAAUUUCGAUACGCAAAACUAAAAGAAUAAUAAUGCUUCAUUUAAUUGUUUAAUUCAGUUUCAUAUCUGUAAAUUAUAUUCAAAUAAAGCAGCAGAUAUAAAGAGUUAGUAGAUUUUUUCCACGAUUUAAUAUUUUAUCAAAUAAUACGUUCUUUUGUGAUUUGAUAUAAUUUUUUACUAUAUGGCAAACUUUUUUUAUGUACAGGCUACCUACCACACCCUGCAGCACAAUACUAUAACUAUAUGACUUCAGGUGUUGCUUUCGAAGGGGCUCAUACGGUGGUGUUUACCGACUUAGCUCUUAAACGUCUAGAAUGUAUAAAGGGCGAAGAACGUACUUUUUGGCUCUCUGAAGGACAAUAUACUCAUGCGUAUGAUGAGACGGAUACUUGGAUACUUGGAAACAGCUUCCGAGAUCCUUUCGUGCUACCCCACAGUGAUCUACUGGCGAAAUAACUCUGAAACGUCAGUUACCCGAUACAAUAACGGAGUGGGUAGGAAAAGCAGUAUGCAUUAACUCCAAGAAUGGACUCAGCAUUUCAGACACAAGCAGCAUUAUUGCUUUCCAGCCCUUUUUGCUUUCUCUCCAGAUGCCCGAUUCUGCAGCAAGAGGAGAAAUCGUGUCUAUAAUCGCCUCUGUCUUCAAUUACAUGCCAGAAUGUCUGCCGAGAGAAAACGCUUCUGUAGAAAGGCGAUAUCAUUACAGCACCUCAACAGGAAUAUCUCACAAGUGAAGAAAAUCUGGAUGAAUGCGCUUCAGAAAACGGUGGUUGCGGCCAUGUUUGUGAAAAUGCAAUCGGCAGUUAUCAUUGCAGCUGUCACCAUGGUUUCUUGCUUGAUUCUAACGGACGAGAUUGCAAAGAAGAACCUUGUGAAUAUCUUGUGUCUUCGACUGAAGAAGUUGCUUCCAGCCCGAACUUUCCAAAUAAUUAUCCGAAUGGGAUGAAAUGUACAUGGAAAUUCGAAACUAUUCCAGGAUAUAGAAUCAAGCUGCUUGAGACUUUAUGAUGGAAACUCUAUCCAUGCGCCGUUGCUGGCAAGGUUCUGUGGCUCCAAGAUUCCUCAACCAGUUACAUCCACUACCCAGACUUUGCUUAUGGUAUUUGAAUCCGAUUCAUCUGUACAGAAACAAGGAUUCCGUGCUUUGCAUUCCACUGAUUCCGCCGGAGGUUAUAUCUUCUGGAAAUCGUCUCUUCAUCCACUUCCAUUCUGACGAUUCAAUUGAAGCAAAAGGAUUUGCUUUGGCCUAUUCAGAAAUCAUCAUGACUGAUCAUGACCUGACUGAUCAUUUGCACCUUCUAUGAAAGAUCAAAUUAGAACGGUCAAUUCAGAAAAUUUGUAAAACUUGUGUGAUGUGAAUAAUAAAUGUUACUUUGGAAAA
Molecule: long non-coding RNA, 1388 nt
Filed under: Stegodyphus dumicola
Lineage: Eukaryota; Metazoa; Arthropoda; Arachnida; Araneae; Eresidae
Description: uncharacterized LOC118191211, transcript variant X3
Source: RNAcentral